This is a long non-coding RNA of Mauremys mutica (yellowpond turtle), 2229 nucleotides long. RefSeq lists it as uncharacterized. The record is from RefSeq and is a predicted model, not a curated record. NCBI's taxonomy places the organism in Eukaryota, Metazoa, Chordata, Testudines, Geoemydidae. The transcript is spliced from 3 exons.
ACCUCAAUAUGCCCUGCUUCCUUUCUCUCUUCUUGCAGCUGAAGCUCAACAGUGCCAGUGGGAUACCCUUGAACACAAAGGUUUUUCUCACUGUAUACUACAGGGGCAAAAUGCAGACUGAGACCUACCUCAUGGACCACACAGGGGUGGCCUCUUUCACUUUGGACACUUCACCAUGGAGGGACAGUGACAAGGUUUCAUCAUAGGUGAAGCCCAACUUGUGAAGAAUGUUUUGCAUUUACACGGGGCUGUGCAAGCAUUAAUUGGUGAUCCCCACAGUGAGGCAGGCCAGUGUCAUUAGCCCCAUUAUACAGAGGACAAAACUGAGGGGCAGAGCAGUAAAGUGACAUGCAGGAGGCUAUAGAGGAAGUCCAUGGCAGAGCCAGCAUUAGCACUGAGUAAUUCCUGGCCCCUAGUUCCAUGUGCAGUGCCAUAGGCCAAGCUGUCUCUAAAUGGGAAGGCAUUGCUAAAACUAGGGUUUGGGGUAAUGUGUCAUGGGUGGAGGGGUGGGGGACACCACAUCUGCUCCUGCAAGUCAGUGAUUUGGGGGCAUCCAGGUGGUGACUCCUCCUGGGCUGGCAUGGAAGGGCUCUGUAGGUUUGGCCAGCUGGAGAGAUUAGAGGGAGCUGGACUAUCCUGCAUGGGAAGGGGAGACAGGGAGAAGUGUGUGAAAUGAUGAACAGGGUGGAGGAUGCCCACCGGUGGUAUGGUCUAUGCUAUCCUUGUAACUGCAGAACAAGGAGGCACUUAGGAUGUAAGAAGCAGAAGGUGUAGAACACAUCAGAGGCAAAGCUUUUCUUGGAACGUCUGGUCAGACUGUGGAACCUGCUGCUGCACAUAGACUCAAGGUAAAGAGCUCUGAAGCCAUCAGUGAAGGAGAAGAAAGGUGGCCCUGUGGGCAAAGUCCACACUGGAGAUCCCAAGGCACAGCUUUACAAAAGUGGUCCCAUCUUACAGCACGGCCUUCCGCUCACUGAGGCCCUUCUAUUCCUCCAGCAACAGCUCAGUGAAGAUCUACCCACACGGGGCAUGCUGCCUGCCUUGCAGGGGCAUGCAGCAGGCCCCAUUUGCUAUCACAUCCUGGCAAAGGAGCUGGAAGAGGGAGCUGCCCAGGUGCAGUUUUACCAUCUGGUGGGUGCACAGAAAGGGGCAGUGAGCAGAGGUGGGGGCACAUCCCUCCCCUGAGGUUGCCCAGAGACUACCUCAGCAAACCAUAGAGACGAGAUACCCUCAGCCCACAUCUGUGUAUGUUUCUUCUCAGGUUUUGGCCAGAGGGUCCCUUUUUCUCCACGGCCAGAGUACAGUUCCUCUUGAUGCCCAGCUAGGAAGACUCCAGUGUGCAUUUGCAUUCAGAUACCUGAGCUGUGUCGUGAACAACCUACUCCCUGAAUUGCCCCAACCUGGCAGGACAAGGAUUUUCUUCACCUAAAAAACACUCCUUUUGCCUAGGGAAAUGUUCCUAUAGCUGGUAGCUAGAAGGGCCAGCCAGUAUGUUCCAGGGAGGGAUAGCUCAGUGCUUUGAGUAUUGGCCUGCUAACCCAGGAGUUGUAAGCUCAAUCCUUGAGAAGGCCACUUAGGGAUCUGGGGCAAAAAUUGGUCCUGCUAAUGAAGGCAGGAGGCUGGACUUGAUGACCUUUCAAGGUCCCCUCCAGUUCUAGGAGAUUGGUAUAUCUCCAAUUAUUACCUAAUCUCUUCAGGAGCAGAGUUCAUCUACAGCGCCACAGAAGUUGAGUCAGUCAGGAGCACUGCAGAACCAAAGUAUGUUAGGAGCUCCCUGCUGAGAUCCUAAGCGCUGCUGGAGCAGUACUAAGGAGGGAAUUUUCUCUAAUUUUAGGAAGUUUGUGUGCAUCAGUUUCCCCUAUGUGCUGCAGUUACCUACUGGGUGAAAAGGGACUAUUUGUUCUCGAGGCAGGCUAAGACCAGGUGUAAAUGGUGCCUACGGUUCCAUAUCAAUGGAGCUCUUGAGAAGACAAUGGUGAAUCCAAUUGCCUAGACAUGGCCUAGCAAGCACCAUCAUAGAGUGAUAUAGAUUCCCCGUCUCUCUGCCAGGAGGCUGAGCUGCAUCUCCCAGCUCGGGAUCAAAGGACUGUGGGGUAUGAGGAGGAAGUUAAGUGUCAGCUGUGGGAAGCAGUCAGGAUGGAUUGUGCUGUAACUUUCUUUGCUCUGUGCUAACCAAGGACUUUCUAUGCUGUGAUCCAGUCCACUAAUAAACUUGUCUGUUUUACAACA